UUUGGAUAACCACCUGGGGGCUUCGCUGAACCAGGUCUCCUGAUAAUAAAGACACAUACAGAGAUAACCCUGCAAGAACCAACUGCUGCUAACCUUAACUAAAGGAAAGCUUGUAAGACAAGCACCUCCUAUUAGAACUUAGCCAGCAGCUCUUAUAAACAGACUAGUGAUCUGUGUACUUAAGGUGUUUUCUGCACCUGUCAAAGUUUUGAUGACUUACAGAAUGUUCUCUGCUUGCAUUUUCCAAUUACUCUGCUUGUUCUUAAUUGAAUAUUUACCUGGCACAUUGUGUACAGCACUAGUUUUUGAUGAUUUUGGUAAAUAGCUCCAUCAAGCUUAAAACUAAUUCCUCCUACUUAGAAUAACCUACUUUACAAUCUAACUUUCAAGAGCAAAGUUCAAACACUACUGUGUUGUACCUAGUUUAGUGUUACUCUGACUUACUUAUAAUUCCAGCAGAAGAAAACAAAACAUUCCAGCUCCAGACAGUGCUUAAGCAACUGGGAAUGAAACAAUGCCUUCCUCAGCACAGUGUGUUCUCAAAACCCUCCGCAGCUUCACCUUUAACAGCACCUGCACAGAGAAUCUUUUAAAUAGGCCUUAAAGACAAUAUUUUGCCCUUAACUCAGGUCAGGAGUAGCAGGAGAACACUGAGAUAACAACAUUUGAAGGGUAUUCCCUCCGCACAAGCCAGAGCUGGCUAUGGAAACAGGAAAGGAUUUCAUAUUCUCCUGGGAGAAGCAGAACUUUAUGUGCUUCCCUUUCAGAAAGGAUCAAAGUUGGGGAAGUUUACAGCAGUUUCUCCAAAUGGUCUCCAGUCCUUAGAGACACGUAAGAAAACACUUUCCACAGAGUUUCACCUUGAUGUGCCAAUGACACUCUUGGUAUACAAAACAGAACAAAAUCCAUGGGCUUCCAUGGAAAAACCCUCUCUGGUGUCUGUAAAAUGUGAACCAUGUCCUCUGUUCCCUGGAUGGAGAAACACUAACAGCCUCUGCUAACUAAUUUCAAAGAUUUCAUAAGCUAAGAGAACUUUGGAGGGUACCUCAAUUUCAGGAUAUUCCAUCGAAAGAGCAGCGAAAGGGUUUAGUCCCUUGAUGGCUACUGAAGAAAUGUACAGAUCUGACAGCAAAAAUAUUAUCAUGAACCUGCUAUGCCCUUGUUGCAUUUGACCUUCCUUUUUCAUACACCUGAGGCCAAACUAUGUUUGGCUUUGCAGCAUCAGGAACUUUGCAGCACAACAUCUCCUCCUAGCAGGUGACACGUUAAGAUAGGGAAUUUGUACGAUCUUACAGUGAUUUAAGGAAGGGAGGGGGAAAAAUAUAGCUGUCUGUCCACGGAAGAGCAGGAAGAAUAUUUUAUCCAGGAGGUUAAUAAAAACGAUUUAGUCCUUCUGUCAUGCGGAGUUUGUUCAUAGCUGGAACAAUGAAGGAGAAAGUAUAUGUUGCAAGCUGAGGAAAAAAUGAAGAGCUGAGACAUUUUUGUCUUGCAUUUGCAAGCUUACACCAAGAACCAGAAAAAGUACUUCAGAAAUUACUGUAAUGUAUCUGAUCAUUAGCCAGGCUUAAAAGUUGUUUUUCAAAAAAGGUUAGGAAGACUUAGAAAUUUUUAACAAAUGUCAAGGUAUGUUUCAAGCUGGAAGUCUCAAGAGGGUUUCUUUUAAAUAUUUACACUUUCCAGCCCAGACCAAGAGAAGACAGAAGGACUAGCAUAUUUUACAGCAUGCAUCCAGAACGGGGUGCAAAACUGCUGUGAAGAAACAGCCUGAGGUCAGGUGAGUUUUUUUCAACCUAAAGGUUAUGGUGGGGAGCUCCUCCAGUACCACUCCGAUUCAACUGAGUUUCAUGAAGACACCCAUUAGAAAAGUGAUGGCAGUUAAGCAUCAAUUAGAGAUCAUAAAUAACAUGGUUUAGGAUAUUCUAAGGGCAGAGCUCUGGGGAGGGAGUUAGAACAGACAGUAGUAGAGAAAAUGCUGAAAUGGGCACUCAUUUCCUUGGCUUGCCAAGAAAGCCAAACUUGUACUUCAUAGGGCAGGGCUACAAGAAGUUGUUGGGGAUGCAUGUCUCCAAGAAACAGUUUUAAGAACUAUGACAGUCCACAAGCUGUAAGUUUAUUAUGAAGGAGCGCUGAAAUAACAAAUCUUGCAUACAACGCUUUGCUCCUAGAAGCAGUACCAAGCUUCCCACAAUGCAUUUUAAAUGUUUCUCUUAUAACAUUUAAGCAAUACGGAAAAUUAUCCCCACUAGCCAGGCAUGGCUAAUAUCACUACUGCUUUCUACUGGUAGCCAUUUGUCAGUUUAAUUCUUCACAUAAUACCAAGCACUUGAGAGUUAAUUUACCAAAGAUAAAAGAGAAUCAUCUGCUUUAACUCUAAUGAAACAAACAAGCACGCAAAAUUAAAAAAUCCAACUGCAUGUUUAUAUUAUAGCUCAGUAGCUUUUCCUUUUGAAACACUAUUUUUUAUAUAUAAAGCCACAUCUUUAGCUCCCGAUACUUAGAACAGCUUCACUAGGAGCAACAGAUCUCUCCACCAUUUUACAACUGUCUGGAAUUUGCUUUAUUUGUGUUUAUAGUCUUCAGCGGGAUGCUUCUUUGUUUUCAGUUGACAUAUCAAUAAAACCUCUGUCACUUUGCUAGCACUCCAGCAGCAUUACCUUGGGCAUACUGGCCAACAUCCAACUUGGGCAGUUACAUUUUAUCUGCUAAGUUUAUCCCGAAGCCUUAACUAUGUAUUGUAAUCUUCUUUCUGUUGUGGCUGUACAUAGCUGAACAGCUGCUCCGAGAGCUUCUCCAAGUAUUUCUGCAAGCAAAUUUUGUUUUCCAACAUUCACAAUAAAGCAAACAGAAAUUGUGCCAGCAAGGCCAAACCAAAAGACUACUCAGAAAUUGUUGACAAUUUUGGAUUAUUUCUUUUCUACUGUUAAUCUCAGGUCAAACACUUAUUUCCAAAUAGUCCCAAACCCUGCCAAAUCCACAACAGAAAAUUUGCAUAACAAUUAAGUAACAAAGAGACCUUAAGGAAGCUCUAGCAGGUAUAGUUAGGUGAAAAUUUUCACCCCCAAAAUAAAUCCAGAGCUUGGUGGACAAACAUCAACUAACUUUGACAUAUUCCAUUGAUACUAAAAUCAAAGAAUUCUAAUAUCAAUUCAGUGUUUUAUUCUAAAUGGUAUUCUUAAGAUAAUUCUAAAUAAAGAGCUGCUUAAAAUGGACUAGAAUUUAAAUAGCGACCACGAUUUAAUGUCUCCAAAAGGUUUUUGUUUUUUCAUCUUUGAAGAAAAUUCUCCAGCUACCAAAGCAUUUUGAAAAAACAUAACUCCAAAUUACAAACGUUACUAACUUGUGUCCAGACAGUAAACUGCAGAGUUAUGUUGGACAAGCACUAUCUAUGGCUGUGCUCCGAAUUCUAAGUAUUUUAUUGCAUGGUCUAGGUACACACACCAUGACAGCAACACUGCAUACAAUUUCAUUUCACUGUUCUUAGUGAGAUCACCAUGCACAGUGCCACUGAUUUAAGCAGCUCUUCACAAGAAUACAAAAAAGCGUAUUUCCUCUUCUCAGGCUCUGGAGUUUCAACAUAAAAGUUGGAGAGCAAUCGAGGUUGCCACAGGUAGCCUUGAUUCUAUCAAAGUCACAUUCUUUGUCUCUAAUAAGGGUAAUGAAUUAAACAACUCAUUGCAAGCCUUUUAAAAAAAGAAGAAAAAAGAAAACCUAACUUCAGAAAGACAUCAGCAAGAAGCCUUUCUGCCUCCUGUGCACCUCUCAGCUGGACACAAAGAAAGUUGUUUUCAACCUAAGGAAUAACAGAAUAAACUGGUCAGAUGCCGAGACAAUGCCAUCUGAUAGCUUUCAUGCUUUAUUUAUUGCUGGGAUCUACAUCUAUGGCUCCUACAUGCUCAACAGCAACCACAAAGAAUGAUGAGCUUUCUAAGCAGUUAGCUAGCCCCCCAUUUGGCAUUAAAUGAUUCAGAUUUAAUCAUUUUAUGCUUAUUAAUUAUUGCAACGGGACUAUAAAAACAUGCACGAGUUUCAGGACGUCACAACUAAGUAUGAUUCAGCAAGUAAUGACGGGAAGGGGAAGCAUGAAGUUUAUUUUAACAAGCACAGCAUGAUUAAGAGCUGUUCAUUGCAAAAAAAAAAAAAAAAGAGUUGGAAGUGCAUUUCCUUGGUUAUCAUGGAAGAACUGAGUCUUAAGAGGUCUUAUGAAUAACUUUUGGGAAGUCCUCUGAGCAACCACUGAAGACGCAUGGAGAUGAUUUAACUCUGACCUCUCCAAUAGGUCUGUCACAGAACUGCUCGGUAUACAGCCGUAAGGUCUGAAGGAGCAAGGCCUGGUGUGCAGCACAGUUCAGACAAUGCUGAGACAUUUUAAUAAACUCCCAAGUAGGAAAGGAGACAGUUGAUUGAAGAGGGGACGUAGUGGACACACCAAUAAUUGGAGAUUUUUCCAGAAGCAAACUGUAAUAGGAGUGAUGUUUGGUACUGCUUGUUUUUCCUCCUCAAGGCAAAGGGACUCAUCAGUUAAGGAUGAGUGUGAUGCAUGCAUGAAUCAGAACCUGCAUUUCUGAGAAAACAUCUACAGACAGAGAUAGGUGGAAAAAUACAUUCAGAGCUAUUUCAAAAGCCCACGGAGAUCAGUGUCGCAGAGGACCUCAAGAAUUCUAAGUACCACUGUACUUUCGCUGAAAGCCUUGCAUGCCUGCACAUGUGUAAGAUUCAAACAGUACAGAAAGUCUCGCUGAGUUAUCUGGGAUGAUCACUGUAAAUCUAAGAGGUUGCAAAUGCUCAUAAGGAAGAGUCUUAGAGGCAGACCUGUACCUGUUCCCUGAUCCGGUUUGUUUAAUCUGCUGAACUGUACAAGAGAGUGAUAAAGUUAAGGCCAGAAGCAAAAUGCACUUCCCUACAAAGCAUUAACAUGGUUUCCAUACAGAAUUAUUGGAAUAAUUCAACUGUAAUAAUAUGAACACAUGUUGUUAUUGCAUUGAAGAAAAAAGCACUGGUUUACAAAUAGUCUUUGAAACAUUGUAAAGGGUGACAGUGAAUCAUAUCCAUGUUCCACCCAACGCUCUUCAAACUAAUUGUGUUCCAUUAUUGCGCCUUCUUACUACUGCAUGUCCAGUUUGAAUAUUGCUUUUGGCAGAGCUGAAGAGAGUUCUCACCAUAUCAUGGUUUUGUACUGAUUUGGUUGGGGAUUGAAUCAGGAAAAGAAAAGAGUUACUAAGCAACAGCAGGCCAGGAGCAGGAGAAAGGUCUGCAGCCUUAAUUGACACCAACUUUAAAAAGCAGUAAGAGAGGGCUCAAAAUGUGAAUGCUACUGCUUUGAAAGGAAAAAAAAAAAAAGAGAGAAAUCCCAGGUAGUCAGUAUCUAUGAGAUCUGGGUUCCAACCAUAAGCUGCAUGAUGUACUGCAAACACUUUUCUGCAGGGAGAUUCAGUGCCUUAAUCUCAAUUCCGAACAAGAUGAAGGACCAGAUACAGUUCUUUAAUUCGAGAGCCCAGAACACGCAGACAGCUUUGCUCUGUAAAAGCUACCUCAGGAAACAGGAAUGCGGUAUGAUUUACAGUUAUACAGGUCGCCAGGACACUGCCAUCCACAGAACUGAUAUCACAUCCAGAUAUAGCUCUCCUUCCCCUUCACUACCUACGGUUAAGAAGGUUAUUCCUUUCUAGAAAGCCAGUCCAAAGCUGGGUGCUAUCACUCAGGCUAGGAGAAGAGAAUUUGCUUUGCUAAGACUGAAAAAUCUCUGAUAAUGUGAUCAAGCAAGACAGAAAUCCUGAGAGUUUCCUUCCAGAAUCCAUAUCUAUUUCCUCCUCUUCUACUGUAAGCAAAAUAGUUUCAUGAGCAUGUGAUAACCGAACAUGAGUUAUCACAUGAACACUUACAAAUUUAAAUGAAAAGGCCCUUGAUGUGGAGAGUGCUCUGAACUCCACUGCUGAACAGUCAACCUUUAUUUGCCUAACCAGCAGUACCUUGGGCAGAAGUUAUUUGCUUUAGCUUCACCUGAAAAAAACCUGAUCUCCUACUGAAGUAGUGCCUUUUUAUAAGAUGCAAGUUACAUGUGCGUUUUUUUUUCACACCCACAAUAUGAACAUCAAACCAAGUGCCUCACACUACCAAUUCUUCCAAGCGAUUCUCCUUUUUCCCCAUUUCUACAUUCUUUGCUUUUGCACUUACUUAAGCACACCGGAUUUCAGCAUUUACUGGUUUUCCCACGUACUCCAGAGCACUUCAAGUGACUAAAAUGAAACCACAAGAGGGAAAACUACUAGCAUGACUGUUGCCGAGGAGGAAAAACCAGCAACCCAGGUCUGGUUCACUCAAACUCUCUGAUGAUUCGUAUUUAAAGCGUUGAGGGCUACAGUCAUCUUCUGCUCUGAUGUGUGCUGUUGCAAGUCAACUGAGGUUAUGAAAUGGAAUCUGGCACCACAGAGAGAACUGUCCCUUCACAGGAUACGAGUAAUAGUCACUUGAGUAAAUGCAAGUUAUUCAUAUCCUGCUAGUGGAAUAAUCUCUCUCUGUACAUUCAUGCACAUUUUUAGUUGCCUCCAGGAAUCCGAAGGCGAAUCUCAUUUGUUACCUAAUGAAAUUAAUUCCACCAGAUCUAACACAAGCAUACUGGAAAACCACUAUUACUCAUACAUGAGGUGUAACCAAUGCAGCAUUUCUCAAGCUCUGUUUGAUUAGGGUCCAUCUCUGAACCCUCACCGUUUACCACACAAACCUCAACCUACACGGUUGGCUACGGUACAUUCCCAGCAGAUUUGCUCCAAGUCUUAAAGAGUAAUUUGAACAUUUGACCUCCUCUUGCUUUAUCCACAACAAUCUCAUUCUUCUUUUAAAUUGAAGCGAUUCCCAAACAGUAGGGUGGCUGGUUGUACAGUUUCAUCGGAGUCUGAGAACGUACCUUCCCUUCCUCAAAAUAGAAGGGAACCAUGCAUUUCCUAGUUGAUCUGCAAAUGUGUAAAAUAAUGGUCAUAAAAAUUUCAACUGGGCUGCACCCGUGGGCAUCCAGAAGCGAUGCACAGACACACGUGUGCUAUUCAGGUCUGUAAGUACAGUUACACGCACAUACACAAGCACUUUAAAAUUGCUGCAGCGAGGUUAUGUUGCACGAGAAAUUAAAUUAUUCUGGUAGGAAAUACUGUAAGAUGAAGGUCUCAACAAAGGGCGUAGAAAAAGAAGGUGAGAACAUAAUCUUUGAAGAUUGAAAGCACCAAAGAGUUCAGUGACCAGGCUGCAGAGAUAACAUAACCCAAGGUUCUGAAGGAACACGCCGCAGACUUUCAGUGGGUCUGUCGAGUCAAGGUGGUGUGGUGACAGGAUAAUCAAAAGCUUCACCACAGGGCACUGAGACAACUGUGGGCAGAUGAGCUCGACUUCAGUAGGAGGCACGAGUUUUUGAACCAAGAUGUAGCAGGGCACGGGGCAAAACGGAGAUCAGCUAAUUGGAAGUAAGAAGCACCAGGCUAACGUAACAACUCAUUUCUACAUAACAAACACACAAGAAAUCUAAUCUGGACUUCAAUAAGGCAUUUGACAUAGUGCUAUAUGACCCCAUAACUGAGUUAGGAAAAAAUCUGACAUGCAAGAUUUACAGCGUUAGAGAAGAGCACAUGCUCUUCAGUCGGUAACACACCACACUCAAAGACAGCAGUGGGUCGGGGCAGGGUUACUCCAAGAUUUAAGGCACGUAAGUCAUAAGGCUGUCACCGCGCGCUGCAGAUGGCCGCGCUGGAAGCACGGGCUGAUCAUGUGGAACGCGCCGCGCACACUCAAAGUUCGGGGCGAAGUUUGGCGGCGCGGGAGGAGAGGCCACGCGCUCCGCCGGCCGCAGCGAAAGCAGCGGGGAAGCCCCGGGCGCGGGGCCGGCUGCAGCCACUCCGGCCGGGCCCGGCGUCCCGCGGAGCCCUCCGCCGCCGAGCUGCGUGCGGGCCGAGAGGCUGCCCCGCGCCGGCACCGAGCCCAGAAGCCGCCCGGCGGAGGUGGAACAACAAACUUGCAAUCAGAGAAGAGAGUUCCAGAAAAUGGACUUAAAGUGACCAAAUACCCUUCAUAUAGCAAACUGUGCACAAGCCCCUUCUCCUCAUGGCAAUAGCAGCAAAAGCAGCACGGUGUUUCCUCUGUCCUAGGACCCUCUGCCAUGCUUGUCUGAACGCUCCCACCUCAAACUGGCCACCCCAGGAUUUUACAGAAGCUAUCCUCAUUCUGACUGCAGUCUGUAGUCCCCACUGUUCUUGUACUACACUCUCAGGUGGCGCUGUCUUGAAAAUGAUGAAGUGCUUCCAAAGAAUUAUACCAUUGUUGUUGUACUGUUAUUUUGCAGUGUCCUCAGCGUCAGGAUAUCCUGACUCGGAACAAAGGGGUUAAGAACAAAGAAAACAAAUAGAUAAUACACAGUACAGUAGCACAACAUUAACAUGUUCAUACAGUGAUGUAUGGUGUCAAAAUUUUUUGUUUGUUUAUAUGGUUUCUUGUGGCAUUUUAGGUUCUUCAUAUUGGUACAUAUUGUGCAAUCGCUUUUUAAAGCAAUAUUGUUUCUGCUAGAGAGGGAUAAUCUGAAAUGCAAAUGGCUUAGAAAACGACAGCACACUACUGAGUGAAUUAGACCUUAAGCCCAAACUGCUCUAUUUUGGCUUUGAUGUACAAGAAGUUCCAUUAAGUUUAUUUUUCAGCUACAGUUUUUCAUCUUUGUUUACAUCUGCACUUCCUGCUCCCAUCUGCGACACAGAUCAGAAGUGAUAGAACACCACGAAAGAAAGGCCAUCCUGGUGGCAUUUCCAGCUUGACUGCAUGCAACAAAUACCAGGAAUCUUGGAAGAGAAUGUAUUUGCAGAUGCCCAGCCCCAUGUUCAGAUGGAUAUCUGAACACUUAGGUGCUUAACCACCAGAACUCGUGACAGUAGCAAUAAGCAAUCUUCUGAGUUUUCAAAAUCGUCACUAUUGUUUUCUAUCAUUAAAGCUGUCAAAAUUUUGCACCAACAGUAGUUGCAUCACUUCGGUAGGUACCUGCCUUGUGGGUACAUUCAGGCAGUGAGAAGUGAAGCAUUUGUUGUACUUUUUGGUUUACAGUUCUACAGAUGCUAAGCGAGAAGCCAGUCAGAAACCAAAGAGAAAAUAUGGCCUGUUGUUGCAUAGUUUUGAUCCUUUCAAAAAACUGUGUAAUAAAUUGGUUGCCCAGGGAGGUGAUGGAUGCCCUGUUCCUGGAGACAUUCAAGGUCAGGCUGGAGGGGCUCUGAGCGCCCUGAUCUAGCUGUAGGUGUCCCUGUUCACUGCAGGGCAGUUGGACUAGAUGGCCUUUAAGGGUCGCUUCCAACUUAUACGAUUCUGAGUCUGUGAUUCUAAAUAUAACUGGCAGUAUAUAUAUUUCUCCUGUGAACAUCAAAUAAUGUCAAAUAAAAGCAAUUGCUCUAGA
Numida meleagris (helmeted guineafowl) is the source of this 9409-nucleotide long non-coding RNA. RefSeq lists it as uncharacterized. Lineage: Eukaryota; Metazoa; Chordata; Aves; Galliformes; Numididae. The record is from RefSeq and is a predicted model, not a curated record. The transcript is spliced from 2 exons.